RNAcentral lists this RNase P RNA (394 nucleotides) under Chitinophaga agri. Its description in RNAcentral is "Bacterial RNase P class A". It matches the Rfam family "Bacterial RNase P class A". From Rfam's summary of the family: Ribonuclease P (RNase P) is a ubiquitous endoribonuclease, found in archaea, bacteria and eukarya as well as chloroplasts and mitochondria. Its best characterised activity is the generation of mature 5'-ends of tRNAs by cleaving the 5'-leader elements of precursor-tRNAs. The record is from Rfam by way of RNAcentral. Lineage: Bacteria; Pseudomonadati; Bacteroidota; Chitinophagia; Chitinophagales; Chitinophagaceae.
ACUACGAACCGUGCUGUCGCUUCAACCGAAAGGUAGAUGAGGAAAGUCCGGACAACAUAGAGUAACGCACCACCUAACGGGUGGGGCUGCUCUUUUCUCUGCAAAGGGCGAAGAGCGGUACAGAUAGUGCCACAGAAAAUGACCGCCUGCCAGUUGCGCAAGCAGCAGCAGGUAAGGGUGAAAAUGUGGGGUAAGAGCCCACGUUCUGGUAUGGCAACAUAUUGGGAGGGUAAACCUUGCGUGUUGAAAUGCCAUGUAUACGGUCGCUUAGGGCUACUCGUCCGAUGACCGAGGGUAGGCAGAUACAGGUGUCGUGUGAACGGCAUCGAAGAUAAAUGAUAGCAGCUCCUUUUAACAGGGAGAACAGAAUCCGGCUUAUAGGUUUGUAGUUUUU